This 421-nucleotide ribosomal RNA is filed under the name uncultured bacterium. RNAcentral's name for it is "bacterial SSU rRNA". It matches the Rfam family "Bacterial small subunit ribosomal RNA", at positions 355 to 773 of the family's 1533-position model. The record is from RNAcentral.
UAAGGAAUAUUGGGCAAUGGACGCAAGUCUGACCCAGCCAUGCCGCGUGGAGGAUGAAGGUCCUCUGGAUUGUAAACUUCUUUUAUCUGGGAAGAAACCCAUGUUUUCUAACGUGGUUGACGGUACCAGAUGAAUAAGCACCGGCUAACUCCGUGCCCGCAGCCGCGGUAAUACGGAGGGUGCAAGCGUUAUCCGGAUUCACUGGGUUUAAAGGGUGCGUAGGUGGACAGGUAAGUCAGUGGUGAAAUCCCCGAGCUUAACUCGGGAACUGCCGUUGAUACUAUCUGUCUUGAAUAUCGCGGAGGUAAGCGGAAUAUGUCAUGUAGCGGUGAAAUGCUUAGAUAUGACAUAGAACACCGAUUGCGAAGGCAGCUUACUACACGGUCAUUGACACUGAGGCACGAAAGCGUGGGGAGCAAAC